This 484-nucleotide ribosomal RNA is filed under the name uncultured bacterium. Its description in RNAcentral is "partial 16S ribosomal RNA". It matches the Rfam family "Bacterial small subunit ribosomal RNA", at positions 32 to 507 of the family's 1533-position model. The record is from RNAcentral.
CUUUAACGCUGGCGGCAGGCCUAACACAUGCAAGUCGAGCGGAUGAAGGGAGCUUGCUCCUGGAUUCAGCGGCGGACGGGUGAGUAAUGCCUAGGAAUCUGCCUGGUAGUGGGGGAUAACGUCCGGAAACGGGCGCUAAUACCGCAUACGUCCUGAGGGAGAAAGUGGGGGAUCUUCGGACCUCACGCUAUCAGAUGAGCCUAGGUCGGAUUAGCUAGUUGGUGGGGUAAAGGCCUACCAAGGCGACGAUCCGUAACUGGUCUGAGAGGAUGAUCAGUCACACUGGAACUGAGACACGGUCCAGACUCCUACGGGAGGCAGCAGUGGGGAAUAUUGGACAAUGGGCGAAAGCCUGAUCCAGCCAUGCCGCGGGUGUGAAGAAGGUCUUCGGAUUGUAAAGCACUUUAAGUUGGGAGGAAGGGCAGUAAGUUAAUACCUUGCUGUUUUGACGUUACCAACAGAAUAAGCACCGGCUAACUUCGUG